Molecule: long non-coding RNA, 685 nt
Filed under: Mytilus galloprovincialis (Mediterranean mussel)
Lineage: Eukaryota; Metazoa; Mollusca; Bivalvia; Mytilida; Mytilidae
Source: RNAcentral
AAAAAGAAAGAUGUGGUAUGAUAGCCAAUGAGACAACUAUCCACAAAAGACCAAAAUGACACAGACAUUUUAAAACAACUAUAGGUCACCGUACGGCCUUCAACAAUGAGCAAAGCCCAUACCGCAUAGUCAGCUAUAAAAGGCCCCGAUAAGACAAUGUAAAACAAUUCAAACGAGAAAACUAACGGCCUUAAUUAUGUAAAAAUCUCCCUUUCGCUUUUUAUAAAUUUUAGAUUUCACAUUUCCGAGUUAUGGGAUUUUAUUCAUGAAAAGGAGUGAUUCUCUAGUUUUCAGACAAUAACCUUAAAGUGCUUUGACCAUUUUUUGUUAAAUCUUGUUGACUGAUUUAUAUCUAUUAAGAUAACCCCCCUUUUUCAUAAAUUUCUGGUAUGAUAUUGAGAAGUUAUUGAACUGUAUUCUUGAAAACCGUUAGGCGUAUCAUGCGCUCUAGCUCAUGGCGCAGCUGUUUACUAUUUUUAUGCCCCACCUACAAUAGGAGAGGGGAUUUAUGUUUUCUGGUUGUAGCAUCCGUUUGUUCGUCCGUCCUUAUGUCUGUCCCGCUUCAGGUUAAAGUUUUUGGUCAAGGUAGUUUUUGAUGAAGUUGGAAUCCAAUCAAGUUGAAACUUAGUGCACAUGUUCUCUAUGAUAUGAUCUUUCUAAUUUUAAUGCCAAAUUAGAAUUUUUA